ACGAGGGGCGGGGACCCCCCCGGGGGGGCUUUAAACAAACCCCAUACCCGAACCCCCCCGGAAGGGCCCUCCUUGCAGGGCAUAAUAAGGGACCCCCCCCGGAGGUGAGGAUGGGGGGGCAGGUGUUGUCCGGAAUUAUUGGGCGUAAAGAGCUCGUAUGUGGUUCGUCACGUCUGAUGUGAAAAUCUGGAGCUUAACCCCAGACCUGCAUUCGAUACGGGCGAGCUUGAGUGUGGUAAGGGAGACUGGAAUUCCUGGUGUAGCGGUGGAAUGCGCAGAUAUCAGGAGGAACACCAAUGGCGAAGGCAGGUCUCUGGGCCAUUACUGACACUGAGGAGCGAAAGCGUGGGGAGCUGAUAUUUAUUAGAUACCCUGGUAAUCCACGCCGUAAACGGGGGGAACUAGUUGUGGGAACCUUCCACGGUUUCUGCGACGCAACUAAAUCAUUAAGCCCCCCGGCUGGGGAGUCCAACCGCAAAAAUAAAAAUCAAAUGUAUUGACGGA
This 504-nucleotide ribosomal RNA is filed under the name uncultured bacterium. RNAcentral's name for it is "partial 16S ribosomal RNA". The stretch from base 81 to 504 matches the Rfam family "Bacterial small subunit ribosomal RNA", at positions 1 to 917 of the family's 1533-position model. The record is from RNAcentral.